RNAcentral lists this long non-coding RNA (1566 nucleotides) under Daucus carota (carrot). RNAcentral describes it as "long non-coding RNA (DCAR_LNC006307)". Lineage: Eukaryota; Viridiplantae; Streptophyta; Magnoliopsida; Apiales; Apiaceae. The record is from RNAcentral.
AUAGGAACGAUCAAUUCUACUUGGCUACAAAAGGUGGAAUAAUACUUCUACAAGGGAUGAUUCCAAACACUGACAUGGUCAUAAGGAGCAACACAGUAUCAAUCCAGCUAAUGAAUUCACCUGGUGCUCAAAUUAGUCAAGUUCGUAAUGUUAUAUGUCAACAGAAUGACAACCAUACAACACUGUACAGGCAUUUGGGGAACCAAGUAGUCGCUGUUCUCAUGUAUGCAAGGUGUACAGGAGUAUAAUGAACCAUUUAUUGGUAGGUUUAUAUGUUGGAUAUUCCACGACCAUAGAAUUUUGUGCACGGCUUCAACAAUAUAUUAUUAUUAUGUUUAUGCUAUACUGCUUUUAAAUUACUUUAACUCUGUCUUAUUUGGCGGAAUUCAGGCAUUUCAAGUUGAAGAAUCUAGAAUAUUUUUCUGCUAUCAAAGCUUGGAUAAUGCACUUGAUAAAUCACAAGCCAGAUCUAAUUUCCAUCGUACUAUAUUAUCAUAUGCAGAGGGUUACUAUUAUCUAAGAUAAUGACACUUAACACUAUAAUAUGUUUUUAAAGUUGAUUAUUAGUUCUCUUUAUAAUUUUAAUAAUGUAUUAUAUAUUUUUUGGCUAUGUAUUAAGGACUUAACUCUUAUAUAGGUCGUAAAUGGUAACAAAAACAGUGCAUUUGUAAUUCUGAUGUAGUUCUGUUAUUUUUUAUGUUAGGAUCGUCAAUCAUGUGAUGAUGAAACGAUGCCAUUGGAUGAAACAUUAUGCUCAUCUCUUGAAGUUGGAGUGCCUCUAACCGUUGGAUGUGAAAAUUGAUUGACUUUUGGUCUUUGCUAACAAAUUUAACGGGAUUCAAGGUAUGUUAACUAAUUAAGUAAUUAAGCUUAAUGUUUGCUGUCUUUUUAUUAUUUUAUUCCUUCUUAUGUUUCGGUAAAAUAAGAAGCCAUACACUUUCAAGCCAUGAAAUCACCAAAUAAACCUCUGCCUCUUGAAAAGAGAAAAGCUUAAGGAAAUGCUCUGCCGAUGGGCAUAUAUAUAUUUGUGUGGUAUUUAUUUGUUAGCAUGGAAUAAACAACUUAUACAACAUUAUAUUUUUAUUUUUAUGAAUGUGUUGUGGAUUCAAAAUUUGGGUUAGCUUCAGUUUAAUGCAUCAAAGUAAAGAGAUUUUUCUUGCAAAAAUCAGAUCAAGUUGAUAAGGGCCUUAGCUUUAGCAUGGGAUAAACAACUUAUACAACAUUAUAUUUUUAUUUUUAUGAAUGUGUUGUGGAUUCAAAAUUUAGGUUAGCUUCAUUUUAAUGCAUCAAAGUGAAGAGAUUCUUCUUGCAGAAAUCGGAUCAAGUUUAUAAGGGUCGCGCGAACAAGGGUCCCCGUUUUGUUUUUUGAAUCCGUGUUCUGCAUAUAUGUUUUUCGAGAACACAUGUAGUGAUCAUAAUCUGUACAACAUCAAUUGCAGGAAUGAAUCGAAAUAUCGUCACAAUGCCGGCAAUUGCAGGUAAAUGUGUUGAAGAUGAUGAUAUGAUUCAAGAGAAUCUGAUUAACGAGAGUGCUUUAUUGCAAAUAGUUUUGGUUUCGCAUACAAG